This 253-nucleotide ribosomal RNA is filed under the name uncultured bacterium. Its description in RNAcentral is "partial 16S ribosomal RNA". It matches the Rfam family "Bacterial small subunit ribosomal RNA", at positions 524 to 776 of the family's 1533-position model. The record is from RNAcentral.
UACGGAGGGGGCUAGCGUUGUUCGGAAUUACUGGGCGUAAAGCGCACGUAGGCGGCUUUGCAAGUCAGAGGUGAAAGCCCGGGGCUCAACCCCGGAAUAGCCUUUGAGACUGCAUCGCUUGAACAUCGGAGAGGUAAGUGGAAUUCCGAGUGUAGAGGUGAAAUUCGUAGAUAUUCGGAAGAACACCAGUGGCGAAGGCGACUUACUGGACGAUUGUUGACGCUGAGGUGCAAAAGCGUGGGGAGCAAACAGG